Molecule: transfer RNA, 72 nt
Filed under: Camelus bactrianus (Bactrian camel)
Lineage: Eukaryota; Metazoa; Chordata; Mammalia; Artiodactyla; Camelidae
Also listed under: 1 other name
Rfam family: tRNA
About the family: Transfer RNA (tRNA) molecules are approximately 80 nucleotides in length. Their secondary structure includes four short double-helical elements and three loops (D, anti-codon, and T loops).
Source: Rfam by way of RNAcentral
GGAGGUACAGCUUGGGGGCAGAGCACGUGCUUCACAUGGACAAGGUCCUGGGUUCGAUCCCCAGCACCUCCA